AUGGAGCACACAUCAGAGCUCUGUGGGCAAAAGCUGCUCUCAUGAGGAAGCCACACUGUUUCUGACCCAAUCUAAAGAGUGGCCUGGUGAACAAGGCGCUCUGUGCUUUUGGUUCCUACCAGUGAUGGCUGGGAAUAAAGAAGGUUAGAACAAAAGAAAACAUCUUGCUUCCCUGCCAAUUCCAGGCUUUCACCAAAGCUGAGUUAACCUGGCUAUAAGAUGAUUCCUGUGCUAUAGCUGCUGGAGGUAGCCUGAUCAAAAAACACCGCAAUUGUGGAGAUGAUUGAUUCUUCUUUUUAUCACCUGUAAUACCCCUAUCUUUCCUCCAUGUAACCAUUAAAGGGAGCAGUUGUGUACAAAAUGUAUUAUACACAGGUCCCACGCAGAGGAGUUAGAGGGAGGAUUUAAUACACAAGAAAAGAGGUUCCUGGUGUCCUGAGGGGAAGUUCCCUCCCUGCUGGCUACUUGAGUGGGCUAAUCUUCAGCCCCCAAAUGAGGCCUACAUGGAAAAGGAUGACAUCGAGCAAAGGGCAUAGGUGGAAACUCCCUCCCUACAACACAUCAUCUGCUACUCUCAGCUCAAAGGUUUAAAGAGAGCAAGAAGAUUUACUUCAGAUGGUCCGUGUCCCUGUCACCAUCCCCAUCUCCAUUUCUGACAGGAGUGUACAGGGAGGUGAAAAGAAGGUGGCUGUCAUUGGGAAACAAGAUUUUGGAAACAGGGCCGAGAAUGGGAAUCUGAUUUUCUGGCAAAAAACCCUAAUCUAUAAUAAGAGGCUAUGUUACCUUAGCCCAACAGAGGUCUAUAUCCUGAAAUCAUAAAGGUUCAGAAGACCAGAAUACAAGCCCAGUGUUCAGGUCAAGAGGACAAGAUCCUUGGAAUCAGACACACUGGAAUAAAAAUUGAAAUUCUUUCA
RNAcentral lists this long non-coding RNA (914 nucleotides) under Felis catus (domestic cat). RNAcentral's name for it is "lncRNA (ENSFCAG00000049527.1)". The record is from RNAcentral. Lineage: Eukaryota; Metazoa; Chordata; Mammalia; Carnivora; Felidae.